This 468-nucleotide ribosomal RNA is filed under the name uncultured bacterium. Its description in RNAcentral is "partial 16S ribosomal RNA". It matches the Rfam family "Bacterial small subunit ribosomal RNA", at positions 28 to 507 of the family's 1533-position model. The record is from RNAcentral.
GACGAACGCUGGCGGCGUGCUUAACACAUGCAAGUCGAACGGAAAGGCCCUGCUUUUGUGGGGUGCUCGAGUGGCGAACGGGUGAGUAACACGUGAGUAACCUGCCCUUGACUUUGGGAUAACUUCAGGAAACUGGGGCUAAUACCGGAUAGGAGCUCCUGCUGCAUGGGGGGGGUUGGAAAGUUUCGGCGGUUGGGGAUGGACUCGCGGCUUAUCAGCUUGUUGGUGGGGUAGUGGCUUACCAAGGCUUUGACGGGUAGCCGGCCUGAGAGGGUGACCGGCCACAUUGGGACUGAGAUACGGCCCAGACUCCUACGGGAGGCAGCAGUGGGGGAUAUUGCACAAUGGGCGGAAGCCUGAUGCAGCAACGCCGCGUGCGGGAUGACGGCCUUCGGGUUGUAAACCGCUUUCGCCUGUGACGAAGCGUGAGUGACGGUAAUGGGUAAAGAAGCACCGGCUAACUACGUG